GGUAAAGACACCGGCAUUAUUAGCCUAAAAAUUCCCCGUGUCGCCAACUGAGGGAGGAAAAGAAAAGUAGAUCACCACUCAGUCCCCCUUUCUCCUGAAUGAGCAUCCUUCUGUGAGCCUAGCUCGUCCACCCGUAGGCUGGCACAACACCGUUUGGCAGUUCCCACAAACCACAACGGUUUGUGAGUGGCUAAAAACAGUAGUUCUG
Molecule: long non-coding RNA, 208 nt
Organism: Telopea speciosissima
Lineage: Eukaryota; Viridiplantae; Streptophyta; Magnoliopsida; Proteales; Proteaceae
Exons: 3
Source: RefSeq, a predicted model, not a curated record